RNAcentral lists this ribosomal RNA (448 nucleotides) under uncultured bacterium. RNAcentral describes it as "SSU rRNA". It matches the Rfam family "Bacterial small subunit ribosomal RNA", at positions 26 to 518 of the family's 1533-position model. The record is from RNAcentral.
AGAGCGAACGCUGGCGGCAGGCCUAACACAUGCAAGUCGAGCGCCCGUAGCAAUACGGGAGCGGCAGACGGGAUAGUAACACGUGGGAACGCGCCCUUCGGUUCGGAAUAACUCAGGGAAACUUGAGCUAAUACCGGAUACGCCCUUACGGGGAAAGAUUUAUUGCCGAAGGAACGGCCCGCGUCCGAUUAGCUAGUUGGUGAGGUAAUGGCUCACCAAGGCGACGAUCGGUAGCUAGUCUGAGAGGAUGACCAGCAUCACUGGGACUGAGACACGGCCCAGACUCCUACGGGAGGCAGCAGUGGGGAAUAUUGGACAAUGGGCGCAAGCCUGAUCCAGCCAUGCCGCGUGGAUGAUGAAGGCCUUAGGGUUGUAAAGUCCUUUUAACGGGGAAGAUAAUGACGGUACCCGUAGAAUAAGCCCCGGCUAACUUCGCGCCAGCAGCCGC